This 74-nucleotide transfer RNA is filed under the name Coriobacteriaceae bacterium. Its description in RNAcentral is "tRNA-Gln". It matches the Rfam family "tRNA". Rfam says of the family: Transfer RNA (tRNA) molecules are approximately 80 nucleotides in length. RNAcentral also lists the same sequence under 3 other names. The record is from RNAcentral. Lineage: Bacteria; Bacillati; Actinomycetota; Coriobacteriia; Coriobacteriales; Coriobacteriaceae.
UGGGGCAUCGUUCAACGGUAGGACAGCGGUUUUUGGUACCGCGAAUGAGGGUUCGAUUCCUUCUGCCCCAGCCA